Molecule: ribosomal RNA, 397 nt
Filed under: uncultured bacterium
Lineage: Bacteria
Description: partial 16S ribosomal RNA
Rfam family: Bacterial small subunit ribosomal RNA
Source: RNAcentral
AUACGUAGGGGGCGAGCGUUGUCCGGAAUGAUUGGGCGUAAAGGGCGCGUAGGCGGCCCGGUAAGUCUGGAGUGAAAGUCCUGCUUUUAAGGUGGGAAUUGCUUUGGAUACUGUCGGGCUUGAGUGCAGGAGAGGUAAGUGGAAUUCCCAGUGUAGCGGUGAAAUGCGUAGAGAUUGGGAGGAACACCAGUGGCGAAGGCGACUUACUGGACUGUAACUGACGCUGAGGCGCGAAAGUGUGGGGAGCAAAAAGGAUUAGAUACCCUGGUAGUCCACACUGUAAACGAUGAAUGCUAGGUGUAGGGGGUAUCGACCCCUUCUGUGCCGCAGUUAACACAAUAAGCAUUCCGCCUGGGGAGUACGGCCGCAAGGUUGAAACUCAAAUGAAUUGACGGGG